CCCUUAGAUGUCCGGGGCCGCACGCGCGCUACACUGAAGGAAUCAGCGUGGCUUUCUCCCUGACCCGAAAGGGUUGGGAAACCCGUUGAAUCUCCUUCGUGAUAGGGAUUAGGGCUUGAAAUUGUUCCCCAUGAACGAGGAAUUCCCAGUAAGCGCGAGUCAUAAGCUCGCGUUGAUUACGUCCCUGCCCUUUGUACACACCGCCCGUCGCUACUACCGAUUGAACGGUUUAGUGAGGGCCUCGGAUUGGUCUCGGCCCGCUCUUUACCGGGCGGCGCCGUUGGUCGAGAAGACGCUCGAACUUGAUCGUUUAGAGGAAGUAAAAGUCGUAACA
Molecule: ribosomal RNA, 334 nt
Filed under: uncultured eukaryote
Lineage: Eukaryota
Description: partial 18S ribosomal RNA
Rfam family: Eukaryotic small subunit ribosomal RNA
Source: RNAcentral